UAGAUUGGAAUGUGAUUCAUGCCGUGUAAACAGAUUUCAAAUAUGAACUAAUACGUAAAUAUCUGGAAAAAGUUUUUCGAUGCCAUUAAAUGAAUAUAUUUCUUCUCGUAGGCUUACGAUUAGUACCACCGCAAGACAGAGAAACAGACCAUAAUAGCUCGUGCGAGCUUCGCAUGUCGGCGAAGAUAAGAAACACACCAAGUUGUGUGAUUUAAAAUUUCUUGACGAUCGCCUGCUUAUGAAGCUAUAACGGAGGUCAAUGAAAGUUUUUGCGCAAAAUGCGAUAGAUUCUGAGAUUACCGAGGCCCGAAGUAACAAGGUUAGCGCAUGGUUAACAACCACGGUCGGAAACCAAAUUUUCGUCGCCCGUGACAGCUAAAAGGUACGAAAACAAAAUGAAGGUAAUCUGUAGGACAAAUACGUGGCGUUACCCACAAUCAGUUACUUACAUCACAAGUGGUACUUGAGAUGAUUUGGAACU
Pocillopora damicornis (cauliflower coral) is the source of this 481-nucleotide long non-coding RNA. RefSeq lists it as uncharacterized. The record is from RefSeq and is a predicted model, not a curated record. Lineage: Eukaryota; Metazoa; Cnidaria; Anthozoa; Scleractinia; Pocilloporidae.